AGGGUCCGAGUUGUAAUUUGUAGAGGAUGUUUCGGGCACGGUUACGGUUUAAAUUUCUUGGAACAGAAUGUCAAAGAGGGUGAGAGUCCCGUCUUGAACCGAUUACUUCGUCCAUGUGAAACUCCUUCGACGAGUCGAGUUGUUUGGGAAUGCAGCUCAAAAUGGGUGGUAAAUUUCAUCUAAAGCUAAAUAUUGGCCAGAGACCGAUAGCGCACAAGUAGAGUGAUCGAAAGAUGAAAAGCACUUUGAAAAGAGAGUUAAACAGUAUGUGAAAUUGUUGAAAGGGAAGCGCUUGCAAUCAGACUUGAGCUUAACGGUUCCCCCUUCGUUCUCGAUGGGUUAUUCCGUUUUGUCCAGGCCAACAUCAGUUCGGGUGGUUAGUUAAAGACUUUAGGAAUGUAUCUACCCUCCGGGGUCGACUUAUAGCCUAGAGUGUCAUGUAGCCUACCUGGACUGAGGAACGCGCUUCGGCUCGGAUGUUGGCGUAAUGGUUGUAAGCGACCCGUCUUGAAACACGGACCAAGGAGUCUAACAUCUAUGCGAGUUUUAGAGUUUCAAACUCUGAGGCGUAAUGAAAGUGAACGGAGGUAAGAAGCCUUUAGGCUGCAUUAUCGACCGAUCUUGAUGUCUUCGGAUGGAUUUGAGUAAGAGCAUAGCUGUUGGGACCCGAAAGAUGGUGAACUAUGCCUGAAUAGGGUGAAGCCAGAGGAAACUCUGGUGGAGGCUCGCAGCGGUUCUGACGUGCAAAUCGAUCGUCAAAUUUGGGUAUA
RNAcentral lists this ribosomal RNA (770 nucleotides) under Cladophialophora globosa. RNAcentral describes it as "Cladophialophora sp. XZL-2018c partial large subunit ribosomal RNA". It matches the Rfam family "Eukaryotic large subunit ribosomal RNA", at positions 133 to 919 of the family's 3401-position model. The record is from RNAcentral. Lineage: Eukaryota; Fungi; Ascomycota; Eurotiomycetes; Chaetothyriales; Herpotrichiellaceae.